UGAUGGGAAGCCCUUGGAAGCUCUUGAGCGGAGGAGGGACAUGCUCUCCUGGGCUUACUCCUAGCUGCAUAGGAGAGUCUGAGCCGGGCAGGGACAGAGCUGUCGGGGAGUCACUACGGUGAUGCAGCUCCCGUGGAGGAAGGGGCUGGCAGCACCCAAGAACACAAGCACAGAUGGAGGCGUCCCUCUCCAGUGGCUGGGGCAGGCUCUGAUUCCGCCUCCUGCAUUUGGAGCAGCUGUAAGCUAUCAGGGCCUGGCUGGCUGGCUCCAGGCCUCCCAACGUAACCAGCCUGCCCUGCUAUCCUGGCCUGAGGCUGGCAUUCCUCCCAUGGUCUCUGCAGCACUCAUCAUCGGCGCUCCUGCCACAGCAUGGGGACCUGGGCAGCCUGAUGGACAAAUAUUGGGCAGGGAGGUAGGGAGAUGCAGUUUCCUGGAUUCCCUUCCCUUUAUUGAAUAGGAAUCUUUGCACCUAAACAAGUCUGUGUAGAGUCCAGAUUGUGCUCUUUGUCCUUGGUCCAGGAGGUCCAUCUCUUUGAGCAUCAGUUUCCUCUAAUGCCAAGUGGAGACAAUAAAUUGCCCUUUCCAGGGUCCCAACAAGGA
This is a long non-coding RNA of Homo sapiens (human), 600 nucleotides long. Ensembl annotates it as HS1BP3 intronic transcript 1. Its record names the gene HS1BP3-IT1. The record is from Ensembl. NCBI's taxonomy places the organism in Eukaryota, Metazoa, Chordata, Mammalia, Primates, Hominidae.